Nicotiana attenuata is the source of this 1965-nucleotide long non-coding RNA. RefSeq lists it as uncharacterized. The transcript has 3 exons. NCBI's taxonomy places the organism in Eukaryota, Viridiplantae, Streptophyta, Magnoliopsida, Solanales, Solanaceae. The record is from RefSeq and is a predicted model, not a curated record.
CUAGAUAGACUAAUAGGUUAUCCAGGCUGAUAGCUACCACAUGAUCCUUGCCUCUACAACUUAUACCCUUCCUAGAAGGCGAGCAGUUGUAGAGCUUGAAAUUGGUAUUAGUUAGUCUAACGAGAGUUUUAUUGUUAUUUUUGUGUGAUCCUGUCUCUAGAGUCCAAAGAGAGGUGUGCUUGUAAAUAAUUAUACUUGGUUGAAUAAAGUUUUCCAUUUAACCAAAAAAUAGCUGGGCAUCUUUAUACCCUAUCGUUACUUAGUUGUAGCAUAAUUACUCUUCUCCCAAACAGCUAGGGUUUCGAAGGGAUUCCAAGUUCUAUAAGAGAUUCAGUUAUUCCAAGAAGGACGGUUAGAUGCAGUGAUGAGUGUACUACCAGAAGCAUAUUACAGAUUCUGUGUUGGACAGAUUGAGGCUAAUUGGUGUAGAAGUGGAGGAAUGGUGAAACAAAAUAUUGAUGUGAUGGUGUUCUUAUAACACUUAUAAAGAGGAAUUUGAAGGCUAGAUAAUAAAAUUGGGAGACUAAGCUGAAGAUGCUGCAAAGGAUAUAAUGCAUUAUCCACCAAAAGCUUGGUGUAGAGCUUUCUUUUAUAUAUAAUGUAAGAAAAUAAUGGUGGAUAAUAACUUUACUGUAUCAUUUAAUGCAUGGAUUCUGGAGGCUAGAUGCAAGCCUAUCAUCAAGAUGCUUGAAGAAAUAAAGAUCAAGGUGAUGUGAAUGUUGACUAACAAUGAAGCUAAAUUGAGACUUGAAAUGCUGACUACAUUCCACAAGAUAUGAAACUAUACAGUGAUUCCAGGCAAAUUGCCUCACAUUGCAAGGUACAAUUUGAUGGUAAUCAUGGAUAUGAGGUUUUAGAAGGUAAAAAUAGACACACUGUCCAAAGAAGAUGAGAUGCACAUGUAGGAUAUGGGACUUGGUGAAAUCCCAUGUCCCCACACAAUCAAAGCCCUGAUGUACUAGAAGGUUGAUCCUAUAACUGAAAUAAGUUGGUAGUAUACUAACGAGGCUUAUAUGCUAACAUAUAAGCAAAAAAUGAUAUUGAGGGGUCCAAAAUUCUAAAAAUUUGAUCCUUCUUAAGACAGAGCCACCUGAUAUUGUGAAAAUUGUUAGCAGGCCCAAAGUUAAGAGAAACAGACAGCAGAUAAGGUAAGAAAAAGAAAAGGAGAUGACUCAAAUUUAUUGCAUCAAAUGUGGUGAGCCUAACUACAAUGCAAGGGGAUGUUUCAAGGUACAAAUAACAGUAUUCUGCAUUUUUAAUUACAUUGGUAUAACUACCAUACACUGUUUUGUGCCAGGAUUCUAGAGCUGGAAGUAAUGCACAAGCUAGGAAAAAGGAAAGGGAUAACGUGCAGUUAAACUGAAGAUGAAUUCCAAGCAAAGACGACUGAAGAAGAGACCCUGACAGAUCUUACUAAAGAUCUCCAAGCUCUAGCACAGGCAACACAAUAGUCUAUUGGUUAUGGUAAGCGACGAAGACCCGCCAUUAAGGCCACAUGUUAUUUUUGAGACAAAAAUAAGACUGGAAAGUAAGCAAAAAUGGCAAAAUUCAAUUGAGGCAAGAAGGAUUCAGUUCGGGAGAGAUCACACAGGAAGCUCAACGCUAAAUUGCCUUUCUCACCAAACAAGGCAACUUGGAUGGGGAAGACAACCAUGACAUCCAAUCAGUUGCAAGAAGAAGUCAGAAGAAAAAAAAAAAGGUGAAGAAGAUCGGAAUAAAGGGUAAAGGUGCGCGUACAUCAGAGACAUAGUAGUUGGAUAGUUAAUAUUUUUAGUGAAGGCUGACAUGUAUAAUUGGGUAGUUAAUAUUUUUAUGAGGACUAGUAUAGGUAGUUGGACAGUUAUGCUAGUCUUUUGGCUUAGCCAUCCGAUGGUUGAUUACAUUUAAUAUUUUUUGUCAUUGAUUAAGCACCUGAUAAAUAAGAACAAGUUGCAUAAAAAUGAAUUUGUUGCACUUUGAAUGAAC